This is a long non-coding RNA of Homo sapiens (human), 776 nucleotides long. RefSeq lists it as uncharacterized. The transcript has 7 exons. The record is from RefSeq and is a predicted model, not a curated record. Lineage: Eukaryota; Metazoa; Chordata; Mammalia; Primates; Hominidae.
GAAAGAUGCUGCUUUUCUCCUGACAAUCUUCAAAGAGGGACCAGGUCAUGAUAAAGCAAAGCUGAAAGUCACUGCAGAGCAGAGAACAAAAGCAAAAGGAAGUUUUGCUGCUAACUGUCUCUAUCAAGUUUUUCUACAUUGAAGACAAACUGUGUAUGUGAUUUGUUCUCCUCAAAUGAGAUAUUCAGGGUACGUUGCUCAAAUAAAGAGGGCAAAGCGAUAUGGAGCACAUAGAAAAGAAGAGCGUUUACAUUGAAAGUGAAUUCCGGAGCAAGGAAGUUAUUGGCAUUCGUUUAGUGUACCACAAUGCUAGGGCUGAGGCCUCCGGGAUCCUCUGGGCCUUUUUCAUGGUUGAAAAAUGACAGUGGCAGCUUCAUUCCUUGUGCCCAGUUCCAGAGAGGAGGAAUGAGAAAGGAGCAAGAAGAAAAGGCUGACAUCUAUGGGAAGCCAAACUUUUUCAGGAAUCCCCUGCUCAGCACAAUCAUAACUACAUAGAUGAUUACAGUUGUAUGUUCGGAGAAAAAGAGGAGAGAGAAGACUAAGACUCAUAGGAAAGAAUCCUGCUUUUAUUAAUCAUUCAUACAUAUUUUCAUUUAUGUUUUGAAAGCCAACAACAUACCAGGCUGUCUGUUUGGCACUUAAUAUCUUCAGUCUGACCGAUACCAACUUCGGUUUUCUUGUGGAAAAAAUAAGGAUGUGCUCCUCCUGGGCAUUCAGAAUCCAGCAGGAACACUAUCGCCUCUAUGAACCCCAUACCAGCCCAGGCUAAGUAAGAU